GAGAAGAGGAGGAGGCUGAAAAGAAGGCAAAGAGUGAAGAUAGAGAAACAAGAUGGAAGUGGGGGAGAAAAACAGGGAUGAGAGAAUGCCAUGGUGGUGCUGAGAAGGAAAGGAGAGACUUUUCUGCUUGUAAAGGGCAGAAGAUGGCAGAAUCCAGUGACGCAGGGGCAUCUGGCUCCAGAAAUAAUAGGUCACUUGGCACCCACUUCUUCAAAACACAUCUUUGGUGAAUCUAAUACAACAUCCACGAGCCUCACUUUGAAAAACUCU
RNAcentral lists this long non-coding RNA (270 nucleotides) under Homo sapiens (human). RNAcentral describes it as "HSALNT0296570". The record is from RNAcentral. Lineage: Eukaryota; Metazoa; Chordata; Mammalia; Primates; Hominidae.